AAGGGGACGAAUGCAUAAUUAUGAGAACUCAAGAUUCGGUGCUGGGCCUUACCUCUUUUUUCCCAGUUGCUUCUUUGGGGUCUUCUCGAUUCCAUGUAGAAAGAAAGGACUCUCAGAAUAUACACUGUGUUACUAUACUGAAUUGUGUUCGGAUUUUAAAGUCCUGCCGAUUUCUGAAGGAUAUCAUAAGUAAUGUUACACGUCAUGCAAACGUAGUUGUUAUCGAUUAGCAGUUUGGUUAUACGUCAUGCAAACGUACUGUUGUCGAUUAGCAGUUUGUGUCGUCAUAAAUCUGAAACAUCAAUAAAUAUAAUCG
Molecule: long non-coding RNA, 316 nt
Filed under: Androctonus crassicauda
Lineage: Eukaryota; Metazoa; Arthropoda; Arachnida; Scorpiones; Buthidae
Source: RNAcentral